UGUCCUGAAAGUAUUAAUUAAUAAUGAAAGGGCUUUCUAAAUAUCACUUAGUGGUAUCAAUUGUAUUGAAUUGUCAAGACCUGACUACAAAGAGGUUUUGUGGUAGUUCUGUCCAAGCUUGGAACGUUGAUCCUCUUAGUUCGUCCUACUUUGACACUAUUGCCUUCCUCACAUAAAAUGCUGCACAUGGUCAAAGCAGUGAAUCUCCUUUGAGGAAAAAAGUAACUGCUCACAACAAAGGGAUUGAUAAGUGUCUGUUUCGAUGAUAAAAAGGAAUUAUUGAGUCAUGCUUCAAGUUAUGUAUCAAAUACAAUUCAGGAUGAGUCUGACCACUAUCGAUCUUCUGACUGGGCUCGAGUAUUUGAGGCUGCAACCCAGAGAAGAACAGAAGUUCUUAUGCCUGAAAAUCUUGAAAACAUGUGGACAAUUGGAAGAAACUACAAAAAGAAACUCUAGAAGAAUACUGCCAGAGGACCUCAGGUUGCACAAGAAAAAAUUCCAGAAAGCAAUACCAUGCUUAGAAAGGAUUUAGUGAUAGAAGUACCAAUGCAAAAGCCUGAAACUUCAAGAAGAAUGGAAGAUAAAGCACUUAUUCAGUUACCACCAAAGCCUCAACCAGAUACGGGGUUUACUGAUCUGCAUCUUAAUAAGCAAGUUUAUUCCAAGAGGGUCUAUUGCUGAUGAACUUGAGCAUGCUACUUCUGUUUUUCCUUGUGAAAAUAGAAAUCAGCUUAAAAGGUCAAAUAACACUUCUGAUUUGAAAGUUCAAUUGAACAUGGAAGACAUGUUUGCUACCAGAGGUGAAACUCCUAUCAUUUCAGAAUUUUAUAAUCCAAAUAUUAGCAGGCACAAUAUAUAUAAUGUCAAGAGUGCCUCAGAUAUGUUGGUCCCCAGUGAGGGACUGCAUGAUCCGAAGCUAAGGUGC
Molecule: long non-coding RNA, 925 nt
Filed under: Olea europaea (common olive)
Lineage: Eukaryota; Viridiplantae; Streptophyta; Magnoliopsida; Lamiales; Oleaceae
Description: long non-coding RNA (OEUR_LNC001797)
Source: RNAcentral